CUGACCCCUCAGGGGCCUGCCACAUCUGUCCUAGGAAAAGAGCAGUAUAAAGGUCCUCCAAGCAGGCUAGAGUGGCUGUAGGGGAAAGAGCCAGUGAGAGAGGCAACAGAGAGCAGCCAAUCAGGGCCCAGCAGGCCCAUAUAAAAGGAGCUGCCGGGCCAACAUGAGUUCAGUCUGCUAGCUGGCUCAGGGGCAUAAGAGGUGCUCUUGGCUGGCUGUAGGAGCAAAAGGGCUAGGUCCGGUAGUUACUGGCAGGACCUGGGGCAGUGAGAGAAUAGUUUCUGGCUGGCUGCUGGGACUCAAUUAAGAAAGGGUAUGGGGAAGUGGUCCAGAGUAGCAAUUACUAAAGGGAUGCAGCAUGAGGCUGCUAUACUUAAAGGGUCCCUGGGCUGGGGCCCAGAGCAGUAGAUGGGCCUCUGUCCCCCCACCAGCCACAGGGGGGAAGUGGCUAUGCCCUAAGGAAGGGAAUUAGAACUAUAAUACCUGCACGGGGACUGAUUCAGCUGGGAGUUGUGGUCAGAAAACUGAGCCCAAGAGGGGUGGCUCAGCAGGAAAGGUAGGGUCACUCAGGACUCUAGUAGAGGCAAGGAGUCCCCAGCCAAGAAGCCCUUGGGGUGCUGCUCAAUACCAGAGUAGGAGACUUGCAACCUAGCUAGACCAAGUGAGGGUACUGCGAUGGGCCUGCAGGACUGGUUAAAGACUGAGCCCAGGGAGGGCUGCAGAGAAGGACACACCAACCGAGGGUACCCGAUGGCCCUGUUGAACUGUUUUAGAAGACUGGGCCCAGGGAAAGGGGCUGAAAUAUGUUGGGGAUAUUUUGGAUUCUGUACCCUGGAAAGAAUUGGUUUAUUUCACACGUGGGCGGAGUGUGACUUGACUGGAGGGCUGAGUCACUGAAGACCCGCCUGAUGAGUGCAGCAGCUGGCAGGGUGAGCUAGGAGUGAAGAAAAUUGAGAAGAAACUACAGGGGCACACAUGCUCGACCAGGAGGCGCUCACAGGAGGUCUCAUGCACCACACCCAAUAGGUUACAAUGGAGAAGGGUGAUGGAAGACAUCUAAGACCCACCUACAGAGGAAGAUCCUGGUGGGCAUGCAGGGAGAGCCAAGCCUGCAGAGCCCAGUGGGCAUCCAAGCCCACUCUGACCAGCCUGGGUCCUUGGAGCAGUGGCAAACUAGACUGGAUCUGAGAACAAGUGGCUUCUUCCUCUGCUCUAGUGGCUGUCGCUCCUCCUCUGGCUGGUGGCUGCAGAUGUCACUGCAUCACUUCCAUUCAGUUCACAUUUUCAGAGUUUUUCUUUGCAAGCAGGAGGGAGUAGAAACAUUUUUUGUUAAAUGAAAGUUGAGGUUCUGAUCCCAUCACUGCACCAACCUGCAUGGAAACUGGAGAGCGGAGCCUGCACUGCGGAAGGGAAGAGUCUGAAGGAGGCACCAGAAAGUUACUCUGUGCAGAUGGUUAGGAAUGCUAAGGUGCAGGAGGAGCAGCUCCAGCAAUAGUUGCUCUAAUAAGGAGCCAGUUUUGUUUAAUAGAAAUGGAAUGUUCUCCUUAACCAGUCACAUGUCUUCGUGCUCAUACUCCUGCCUUAAUCCAGCCCUAGCUUUGGGUGUGUCCAAACUUCACUGAGGGGAGACCAGAGGAGCACACUUACAGUGAACACCUAGCAUGAGUAGCAUCUCUCUGAGUUAGUCUCUCAAGUAGGCACUGAAUUGUGGGUGGAGCUGAGAAUACCACUCUCCUUUUCGCAAUUCAAGCUCUGCUUUUGUGUCUAUAUUUGUUAUUACCGUUGUCUUAUGUCUCAGAGCCUUGUUAAGCUUGACUACAGUACAUAAUAAAUGAAUAACUGUAAAGACAAA
This is a long non-coding RNA of Chelonia mydas (Green sea turtle), 1852 nucleotides long. RefSeq lists it as uncharacterized. The transcript is spliced from 2 exons. The record is from RefSeq and is a predicted model, not a curated record. Lineage: Eukaryota; Metazoa; Chordata; Testudines; Cheloniidae.